RNAcentral lists this ribosomal RNA (435 nucleotides) under uncultured Hyphomicrobium sp. RNAcentral describes it as "bacterial SSU rRNA". It matches the Rfam family "Bacterial small subunit ribosomal RNA", at positions 8 to 489 of the family's 1533-position model. Lineage: Bacteria; Pseudomonadati; Pseudomonadota; Alphaproteobacteria; Hyphomicrobiales; Hyphomicrobiaceae. The record is from RNAcentral.
AGAGUUUGAUCAUGGCUCAGAACGAACGCUGGCGGCAGGCCUAACACAUGCAAGUCGAACGCCCUAGCAAUAGGGAGUGGCAGACGGGUGAGUAACGCGUGGGAACCUUCCCUAUAGUACGGAAUAUACCAGGGAAACUUGGAGCAAUACCGUAUACGCCCGAAAGGGGAAAGAUUUAUCGCUAUAGGAUGGGCCCGCGUAGGAUUAGCUAGUUGGUGAGGUAAUGGCUCACCAAGGCGACGAUCCUUAGCUGGUCUGAGAGGAUGAUCAGCCACACUGGGACUGAGACACGGCCCAGACUCCUACGGGAGGCAGCAGUGGGGAAUAUUGGGCAAUGGGCGCAAGCCUGACCCAGCCAUGCCGCGUGAGUGACGACGGCCUUAGGGUUGUAAAGCUCUUUUGGCGGGGACGAUAAUGACGGUACCCGCAGAAUAG